This 1433-nucleotide ribosomal RNA is filed under the name Salmonella enterica subsp. enterica serovar Paratyphi A. Its description in RNAcentral is "partial 23S ribosomal RNA". It matches the Rfam family "Bacterial large subunit ribosomal RNA", at positions 1527 to 2925 of the family's 2925-position model. The record is from RNAcentral. Lineage: Bacteria; Pseudomonadati; Pseudomonadota; Gammaproteobacteria; Enterobacterales; Enterobacteriaceae.
GUGUUCCAGGUAAAUCCGGUUCACUUUAACACUGAGGCGUGACGACGAGGCACUACGGUGCUGAAGCAACAAAUGCCCUGCUUCCAGGAAAAGCCUCUAAGCAUCAGGUAACAUCAAAUCGUACCCCAAACCGACACAGGUGGUCAGGUAGAGAAUACCAAGGCGCUUGAGAGAACUCGGGUGAAGGAACUAGGCAAAAUGGUGCCGUAACUUCGGGAGAAGGCACGCUGACACGUAGGUGAAGUGAUUUACUCAUGGAGCUGAAGUCAGUCGAAGAUACCAGCUGGCUGCAACUGUUUAUUAAAAACACAGCACUGUGCAAACACGAAAGUGGACGUAUACGGUGUGACGCCUGCCCGGUGCCGGAAGGUUAAUUGAUGGGGUCAGCGCAAGCGAAGCUCCUGAUCGAAGCCCCGGUAAACGGCGGCCGUAACUAUAACGGUCCUAAGGUAGCGAAAUUCCUUGUCGGGUAAGUUCCGACCUGCACGAAUGGCGUAAUGAUGGCCAGGCUGUCUCCACCCGAGACUCAGUGAAAUUGAACUCGCUGUGAAGAUGCAGUGUACCCGCGGCAAGACGGAAAGACCCCGUGAACCUUUACUAUAGCUUGACACUGAACAUUGAGCCUUGAUGUGUAGGAUAGGUGGGAGGCUUUGAAGUGUGGACGCCAGUCUGCAUGGAGCCGACCUUGAAAUACCACCCUUUAAUGUUUGAUGUUCUAACGUGGACCCGUUACCCGGGUUGCGGACAGUGUCUGGUGGGUAGUUUGACUGGGGCGGUCUCCUCCUAAAGAGUAACGGAGGAGCACGAAGGUUGGCUAAUCCUGGUCGGACAUCAGGAGGUUAGUGCAAUGGCAUAAGCCAGCUUGACUGCGAGCGUGACGGCGCGAGCAGGUGCGAAAGCAGGUCAUAGUGAUCCGGUGGUUCUGAAUGGAAGGGCCAUCGCUCAACGGAUAAAAGGUACUCCGGGGAUAACAGGCUGAUACCGCCCAAGAGUUCAUAUCGACGGCGGUGUUUGGCACCUCGAUGUCGGCUCAUCACAUCCUGGGGCUGAAGUAGGUCCCAAGGGUAUGGCUGUUCGCCAUUUAAAGUGGUACGCGAGCUGGGUUUAGAACGUCGUGAGACAGUUCGGUCCCUAUCUGCCGUGGGCGCUGGAGAACUGAGGGGGGCUGCUCCUAGUACGAGAGGACCGGAGUGGACGCAUCACUGGUGUUCGGGUUGUCAUGCCAAUGGCACUGCCCGGUAGCUAAAUGCGGAAGAGAUAAGUGCUGAAAGCAUCUAAGCACGAAACUUGCCCCGAGAUGAGUUCUCCCUGAGACUUUAGGUCUCCUGAAGGAACGUUGAAGACGACGACGUUGAUAGGCCGGGUGUGUAAGCGCAGCGAUGCGUUGAGCUAACCGGUACUAAUGAACCGUGAGGCUUAACCUUACAACGCCG